This 2406-nucleotide ribosomal RNA is filed under the name Triticum aestivum (bread wheat). RNAcentral's name for it is "partial small subunit ribosomal RNA". Lineage: Eukaryota; Viridiplantae; Streptophyta; Magnoliopsida; Poales; Poaceae. The record is from RNAcentral.
AUGGACAAUCGAAUCCAUGGAGGAUGCUCGCCACCGCGUCUCGCCCUCCGCGUCGCCUCCGUCCUCCUCUUCCUGUGCGUAGCCGUGACCCCGGCGGCGAGCCAUGGCCCCCAUGGCAAUGACACCGGCCUGCACAAGAACUUCCUCGUCAUCGUGCGCAGCCCGUACGAGUACGACACGAAGCUGUACAAGAACACGUCGAGCUGGCACGCGUCGCUCCUGGCCGAGGUGUGCGACAUGGCCAAGGAAGCGAUGGAGAAUGACCCCUCCUCCGUGACCCGGCUCCUAUACUCGUACCGCAACGUCGUCAAUGGCUUCUCCGCCCGUCUGACGGUGGAGGAGCUGGAGGAGAUGAAAAAGAAGGACUGGUUUUACAAGGCCUAUCCUGAGAAGACGUACCACCUCAUGACCACGCACACGCCCAAGAUGCUGGGGCUCAUGGGCGAGGACCGCGCCGGGGAAGGCGUGUGGAACACCAGCAACAUGGGCGAGGGCAUCAUCAUCGGGGUCCUCGACGACGGCAUCUACGCCGGCCACCCGUCGUUCGACGGCGAGGGAAUGAAGCCGCCGCCCAAGAAGUGGACUGGCCGCUGCGACUUCAACAACACGGUGUGCAACAACAAGCUCAUCGGCGCGCGGUCCUUCUUCGAGUCGGCCAAGUGGAAGUGGAAGGGCAUCGACGACCCGGUGCUCCCGAUCAACGAGGGCCAGCACGGGACGCACACGUCCAGCACCGCCGCCGGCGCGUUCGUGCCCGACGCCAACAUAUCCGGCCUCGCGGUGGGCACGGCGGUCGGCAUGGCGCCCCGCGCGCACAUCGCCUUCUACCAGGUGUGCUUCGAGACGAAGGGCUGCGACCGGGAUGACAUACUGGCGGCGGUCGACGAUGCCAUCGAGGACGGCGUCGACGUGCUCUCUAUGUCUCUUGGCGGGAACCCGGACGCUGACUUCUCGGAGGACCCCGUCUCGCUCGGAGGAUACACCGCUGCCCUCAACGGCGUGUUCGUCAGCACGGCGGCUGGCAACAUCGGCCCCAACCCGGCAACCGUCGCCAACGGGGCACCGUGGCUUCUCACCGUGGGGGCGAGCACCACCGACAGGCGGUUCGCGGCCACCGUGAAGCUUGGCAGUGGAGAUGAACUUGACGGCGAGUCGCUCAGCGAAGUCAAGGACUACGGGAAGGAGCUGCGGCCGUUGGCGCGCGACGUGGGCGACGGUAAGUGCACCAGCGACACCGUGUUGAGCGCGGAGAACGUCACCGGGAAGAUCGUCAUUUGCGAGGCUGGCGGCACCCCUAGCACCGCCAAGGCCAAAAUGGUCGAAAAGGCCGGCGGGUUCGGCAUGAUCGUCGUCACCCCUGAGGUGUUCGGCCCGGUGAUCAUCCCAAGGCCCCACGUCAUCCCGACGGUGCAAGUGCCCAACAAAGUCGGGCAGAAGCUCAAGGCCUACCUGCAGUCCGAGAAAGAAGCCACGGCGAACUUCAUCUUGAAAGGAACGUCGUUCGACACCCCGCGGUCGCCGAUGAUGGCGCCGUUCUCGGCGCGGGGGCCGAACCUGCAAAGCCGGGGGAUUCUAAAGCCUGACAUCAUCGGCCCGGGAGUGAACAUACUCGCGGGCGUCCCCGGCAUCGCGGACUUGGUGUUGCCGCCCAAAGCAGAGAUGCCCAAGUUCGACGUCAAGUCCGGCACGUCCAUGUCGUGCCCGCACCUCGCCGGGGUCGCCGCGCUAAUGAAGAACGCGCACCCGACGUGGUCGCCCGCCGCCAUCAAGUCGGCGCUGAUGACGACCACGGAAACCACCGAUAACGAGAAGAAACCGUUCCUCGACGUGGACGGCACGCAGGCGACGUACUUCGCCACGGGCGCCGGGCACGUGAACCCGAAGAAAGCCAUGGACCCGGGGCUCGUGUACAACCUGUCGGCGUCGGACUACGUCCCGUACCUGUGCGGGCUCAACUACACGGACCAGCAGGUGAACUCGAUCAUCCACCCGGAGCCGGCGGUGGACUGCACCAAGAUAACAAAGAUCGCCGAGAAGGACCUCAACUACCCGUCAAUCACCAUCAUCGUCGACAAGGCGGACACCGUCGUGAACGCCACCCGCGCGGUGACAAACGUCGGCAUGGCAAGCUCGGCGUACGAGAUGGAGGUUGAGGCGCCGAAAUCGGUGACGGUGGAAGUGACGCCGACGAAGCUGGAGUUCAAGGAGCUGGACGAGGUCUUGAACUACACGGUCUCCGUCAAGGCCAAGGCCGUGCCGGAAGGCGCCAUCGAAGGGCAGCUCAAGUGGGUCUCCAGCAAGCACAUCGUGCGAAGCCCGAUCCUCAUAUUGCCCGGCAACGGGGAGGAGGAGGCCACGUCGGGAGCUGAGGGGCCUUCAGCUCAUGUUAGUUCUUUGCUCGAGUGA